UUUUGGUGGGGUCAGAGAAUUGUGAAAGACAUUGGGUCUGUUGGAGGUGAAAAGGAAAGCUCAGGACUCCUGAAAAAUUUGUAAACGCCUAUCAGUUAAAUAAAAGUCCUGUCUUUGUACUAUUGUAAUUGUUGUCCAGCUGCUAAUUAACACAUAUUCAAAGUUGUGACGUUCCCUAUCUGAAAUUGAAUUAGAUUUACCUAAUACCCUCGGGUAAUAUGAUUAACUAUUUAUUAUCAGGACCAGAGACUUUGUUAUUGAAUUCAAAAUCUUGAACAAAUAAAUGUUCUGAUCCAGUAACAGGGAUACACAUCACCCCUCUGGAAAAGAAAGAAGAACGAGAAAGCCCUAUUUCGACUGUAAAAUUAAUUAUAUACUCAGAAACACCCACUUUUCUCUUUUCCCAAAUUCUUUUCCAUUAUGAAAUAAAAGCCUCUGAACAAAAUCCUGCUCCUUUGCCUCAGAAAACUUCGUUGUCUGAUUUAUUUAUUUAUUUUUGCUCCAAAGAGGUUGGAUUGUGUGCCUUCAGGAAAUAAAACAACCACCACAAAGCACUUUGCCGUUGCUCAAAACUUCCGCUUGUAGUUUGAGACUUUAAAAGGGAGGGAAAGAAAAGACAAAGGAGGAAGCUCCAGGCUGCUGGUUUGGCAGGUGCAAAGGUUUUUUUCAAGCAAACAUCUGGUUUGGUGGUAGUUCUGAAGCCAGGCAUGAAAUCAGAAAGACAGUCUUUCCCCCCUCUGCAAUUUUUUUUUUUAGUGUUGUUUUACGACUUCGGGCCCUUUGUGGUAGGGAAGCACCCAGGCUCCUGUUCAUUGAAGCUCGCCUGCUCAGACUUUGCACUGUUAUAUUUGUACAGUGAGGUUACCAAGGGUGAAGAUUCUUUCCUGUUGGGCUGGUAACUGUUUCACGCAGCUUUUCCACACUACACAAUACACUUUGGCUACUGUUUGUAUAGUCAGGAAACUGUUAAAAAAACCAAAAACAACCGAAGAAGAAAUAUGUAGGAGAACCUGGGGAAGACAUGGAUUCCUCUACAGCAAUGGUAGAGGAAGUUAUAACUUGAAGUGACAACUAGCCAGGAUGUUCUGACUGAAAGUGUCUGGAGAAGGUUAUGUGGCAGCUGUUACAAAAAAUAUCAACUUAAUCAGGAAAGACAAGAGUGGGCAAGGAAGAAACUCAUGACUACUCCAGCUUGAAUCUCUGUGAGCCUGGCAAAAUGUUGAUGAAUAACGGCCUUUGCAGAGAGUUGGUCCUGAUAGUAUUUGUCUCAUUGUGUCAUCCGAUAAAGACUACAACAGAACAUGCGAAGAUAAAAACAUAAUAUGGACAAUAAAACUAAUUAAUAGUUAAAGAUUUAGCCAAAGAUGUAUGUCUUUGGCAUGUUUUACUAAACUGUCUUUACAGAUAUCUGAAUGAAAAUGGAAGUCAAUUGCUACUUUAGAUUCCUUCCCUUGUGCCAGAAGAACAAGCCACUGAGCAUCUAUAGAAUGGCUCCUCCUGCACUUCAGGACAGCCAGAUGGAUGGAUUGGUAACAGGAGAGACUCACUUUUAGAUAGUCAGGAUCUAAAUUGCUAAGGGCUGAAAAAUUUAGCCCAUUAAGUUGUGCCUGGUAAGAACUGGCAACCAAUACAGAUCUUUAAGUAGAGACAUCAUGUGGCUACUGUUACUUACAUGGGUUACCACCCUAGUCUUGCAUUUUAUACGAGGUGCUGGUUUCAAAUACUUUUCAUGCAGA
This is a non-coding RNA of Notechis scutatus (mainland tiger snake), 1736 nucleotides long. Lineage: Eukaryota; Metazoa; Chordata; Lepidosauria; Squamata; Elapidae. The record is from RefSeq and is a predicted model, not a curated record.